Molecule: long non-coding RNA, 678 nt
Organism: Selaginella moellendorffii
Lineage: Eukaryota; Viridiplantae; Streptophyta; Lycopodiopsida; Selaginellales; Selaginellaceae
Exons: 4
Source: RefSeq, a predicted model, not a curated record
AGAGAGAUUGUGUGUGUGUGUGUGUGCUAUAAUAGAGCUUUGUUUUUGUGUGCUUUUGUUUUGAACGCUAUCUCUCUCUCUUUCUCUCUCUCUCUCUCUCUCGCUUUUAUUUGUAACGCUCAGAGAGGUCUCGGCUUUGGCCGGGGCUUUGAUCGCACUGCCGCGGUGCUGUCACUCAAUAUCGGUGCUGUGUGCCUCACAUAAAUUCGCUCGCUUCUCAAGGAAAAACCUUGUGUCACUUCCUCGAUGGAUCAACAGCAGCAGCAGGACCAGAAGAAGAAGGGAUCUUCAAACAAUAACAGCAAUAGCAACACCUCUGGGGGCGGGGGCAGUGGCAGUAACAAUGCGGCGCAGCAAAAAUCUAAAUCGAAUUCCAAGCGCUCCAUCGCGGAGACUGUGAACCUCGCCGCCCAGAAGUUCCUGGCAGACUCCUCAAAGAAGUGAAAAAAAAAAAAACGAGACGAUCCAAUCCAGCAUUGCGAUAUAUGGUUGGGCUUUGCUAUACUUGAACUAUAGAUAUUAUCUCUUCUAAAUAUUACAAUGUGUGUAAAAAUCAUAGAAAUGGUGUUUUGCCAUGUGUACCGCGAAAAGUGCCUCCCCAAGGCUUUUGCUAAGAUCUUAAAGUGGUACUCAUAUACUCAAUGAAAAUAAUGGAAAAAUUCCCUCCAAUAAUUGAUA